RNAcentral lists this ribosomal RNA (484 nucleotides) under uncultured bacterium. RNAcentral's name for it is "partial 16S ribosomal RNA". It matches the Rfam family "Bacterial small subunit ribosomal RNA", at positions 30 to 507 of the family's 1533-position model. The record is from RNAcentral.
AUUGAACGCUGGCGGCAGGCCUAACACAUGCAAGUCGAGCGGAUGAAGGGAGCUUGCUCCUGGAUUCAGCGGCGGACGGGUGAGUAAUGCCUAGGAAUCUGCCUGGUAGUGGGGGAUAACGUCCGGAAACGGGCGCUAAUACCGCAUACGUCCUGAGGGAGAAAGGGGGGGAGCUUCGGACCUCACGCUAUCAGAUGAGCCUAGGUCGGAUUAGCUAGUUGGUGGGGUAAAGGCCUACCAAGACGACGAUCCGUAACUGGUCUGAGAGGAUGAGCAGUCACACUGGAACUGAGACACGGUCCAGACUCCUACGGGAGGCAGCAGUGGGGAAUAUUGGACAAUGGGCGAAAGCCUGAUCCAGCCAUGCCGCGUGUGUGAAGAAGGUCUUCGGAUUGUAAAGCACUUUAAGUUGGGAGGAAGGGCAGUAAGUUAAUACCUUGCUGUUUUGACGUUACCAACAGAAUAAGCACCGGCUAACUUCGUG